RNAcentral lists this ribosomal RNA (895 nucleotides) under uncultured archaeon. RNAcentral's name for it is "bacterial SSU rRNA". It matches the Rfam family "Archaeal small subunit ribosomal RNA", at positions 19 to 903 of the family's 1478-position model. The record is from RNAcentral.
AGAUACUGCUAUCAGAGUUCGGCUAAGCCAUGCAAGUCAGCUCUCCCACUUGGGAGGGCGGCAAACGGCUCAUUAGCACGUAGUCAAUCUGCCCUGGGGACGUGGACAGGGUCGGGAAACUGACUCUAACCCGCGAUAGUCCAUCAACGCUGGAAUGCCUGAUGGACCAAACCUGCCAUGAAUUGGAAUGGCUAGGCCCUAGGAUGAGACUGCGCCUGAUUAGGUAGUUGGUGGGGUAACGGCCCACCAAGCCGAUAAUCAGUGGGGGCAUUGGGAGAUGGAGCCCCGAGAAGGGCACUGAGACAAGGGCCCUAGUCCUACGGGAUGCAGCAGGCGCGAAAACUUUGCAAUGCGCGAAAGCGUGACAAGGGAACUCUGAGUGGUAGGCGUUUAGCCUAUCUUUUUGUGAGCCUAAACAGCUCGCAGAAUAAGCUCUGGGCAAGACCAGUGCCAGCCGCCGCGGUAAAACCAGCACCUCAAGUGGUCAGGAUGAUUAUUGGGCCUAAAGCAUCCGUAGCCUGCUUUGUCAGUUUUCGGUUAAAUCCAUACGCUCAACGUAUGGGCCGCCGGAAAUACUGCAAAGCUAGGGAGUGGGAGAGGUAGACGGUACUCGGGAGGAAGGGGUAAAAUCCUUUGAUCUCUCGAUGACCACCUGUUGCGAAGGCGGUCUACCAGAACACGUCCGACGGUGAGGGAUGAAAGCUGGGGGAGCAAACCGGAUUAGAUACCCGGGUAGUCCCAGCUGUAAACUAUGCAAACUCAGUGAUGCAUUGGCUUGAUGCCAAUGCAGUGUUGCAGGGAAGCCGUUAAGUUUGCCGCCCGGGAAGUACGUACGCAAGUAUGAAACUUAAAGGAAUUGGCGGGGGAGCACCACAAGGGGUGAAGCCUGCGGUUC